Molecule: long non-coding RNA, 3955 nt
Filed under: Olea europaea subsp. europaea
Lineage: Eukaryota; Viridiplantae; Streptophyta; Magnoliopsida; Lamiales; Oleaceae
Source: RNAcentral
UUGAACGUAAUGAUUUUUGUUACUAAUUACAGGGAGCACUUGACGGGGGAUUUGAUGUUUCCCACAAUCACAAGAGGUUUGCUGGAUUUUUGAAGGAUUCUAAGCAGCUUGAUGCUGAGGUUCACAGGAAAUACAUUUAUGGUAGCCACAUUGCUACAUAUAAGAUGAUGAUGAUGUCAAAUUUCUGAUUUUUCACUUAACUAUGACUGGCGUGUGUGGGGAUUUCCGUAGAAGUAACUUGUAAGUUCUUGUUGAAGUGAAAUUUUAAUUUUAACCACAUAUUUACAACUACUGUCCACUUAUUAUUCAUACAUUUUAGGGGACCCAAUUCUCCUCUCGUGGUAAUAGCAUAAUAGGUUCCUUAUAGUGAGACCUGAACACACUUUACAAAUUACACGUUUAAAGAAAGGAAAUCUGACUUCCUCUAUUCGUAUUAAAUAUUUCCAGACCUUGAUAGAAGAUGAGUCAGAAAUGUACCAAUCACACUUCAGUGAGUAUAUCAAGAAAGGACUUGAGCUAGGUGGACUUGAGGAGCUGUACAAGAAUGUCCACGCGGCCAUCCGUGCUGACCCAAUGAUGAGUUUGUUUCACUCAUGAUUUUCGCACAAUUUUAGCUUGAUUAAAUGCUAGAUCUUGUGAGUAAAGAACGUUUUUGAUGUGUUUGUUAAUGUUGUUUUGAAGAUUAGGAGAAGCGAUCUGAAAAGAAGUAUUAAAGUGGACGAAGAGGCCAAAAAACACGAAAUUGCAUUGGUAGCAUGAUCAGGUAGGAGAGGCGGCUGAGGAAAUGUUCGUUCGGAGUAAAUUGAAGCCAAUACUGCAACGAGCUCAUGUUGAUAAUUAAAUUGCUCGCACAAUGUAUUUUGCAUCAAAUUUAUUUGCAAUUGCAUGUCAUGAAAUUGAGUGACAAGGUCAGAAGUGGGGUCACUAGCUGGUGUUGGUCAGCGUGAACGGGGCGGCUGGUCGCUCCAAGGAGGGGGUGGAGCACUGGUGGAUUCGGAGCGGCAUAAGAACUUCCAAGUACGCGCUCGUGUGAUAGUCGGUUUAGGGUGCACAACCUCUUCAGUCGGGUAUGUGACAACACUACCAGCUAAACAAAGCUCAUAAAUCAACGAUGGGUGCCCUAAACCACCUGUCGUCGACCCUCUCAAAGUGUGUAAGAUGUUGUGAAUAAUUUUACCAACAUCAAUUGAUAGGCGGCAUUGAAUGACAUAAUUGAGGGUAGCCCGUUCUUUUGUUACUUCACUUAAAUUGCUAUUGGGAAUAAGCUUGCCAGAAAUGAAGUGAUGACAAGCCUUACAACCCAAAGUCAUACCAGAAGCAGGGAAGUUAAUGACAUCAGUCUCCGAACGUUUCCAUGUAGUACCAGUUGUGGCUAAGACUCGAAUGACCUCAUCAGGAUCAACACCCUCGUCACGAAGUCUAGAGUACUCGUCAUUUUCAAUAUCUUGCAAAUGAUAAAACCUAUUGAUGGAGGUUCUAUCAAACGGUAUCCAUUUACCCCGCACAAACACUCGGAAAUCUCGAUGCUCCUUCGCAUUGGCGUAGAACUCCUUAACAACCGGAAUUAGCGCCAGUCGUGGUUGCUGAGCAAACACUUCCCAGCUCCGCCGAUCUAUCUGCUCUGUUAUAUAAUUGUCAAAACCACGUUCAGGGAUACAAGUCUUGUGUACCACCAAGCUAUUAUAUCGUUCAGUGGCCUCGAUACUAAUGAAUUUGCUCCUGUCAAAUGAGCUAGAAGAAGAGGCUGCGACUUUAGAUCUCUUUUUAGGCGGCAUUGGACCUGUGCAAGGGUAGAACAAGCAAACCAUUAGCAAAAAUAGCAGUAAAGGAAGAUAAGGCAGGGUUUAAAAUCUAGCCAUAAGAGGGAACUAUGGUUGAACGUGCAAUAGAUGUAUUCUAAACCCAAUUUCAAUUCACGAUCAUCUACAUGACAAUGUCCACAUAACUCAAUGAGCAUAAUAGCUAAAAUAGCUCCUUUAUACCCAACUAAGUUCACCUAGGCAAUCCGUCAAACACUUUGAAGGCACCAAAUUUCCACCAAAAAUUGCCCAUACUUUUGGGAGUAAUUUAUGCCACAUUAUUCGCACUAUACACAAAUUUCUUGACACCACACACAAAGCAAGCCCUCCUCUUAACAUAAUUAUCAAAAAUAGGCACAAAAAGAAACAAUUAUCAUGUAAGAGAGGAGAAAAAAUAGGGAGCAAAAAAUAGCCAUACCUGGAAUGGUGCUGUGGAAACUAAUAGGAAUGAAUGAGUUCAUACUUAGCAACAAUGUAUUGAAUUUUACUACAUGGUCUAAAUCCUAAAUCCAUAUCUCUAGUUGUAAAGAAUUCACAAAAAUAUCAAGUUAUUGAUCAUAUAAUUUUAUGCAUUCAACUCAUAACAAAAUCAACACAUGGAAGAAUUAAAAACUGAAAGUCUUAAUAAGAGAAUGUAAAAUAUCUCAAUUGGUUACAUUAUUCCCCCUAACAAUGAAUUUAGCUACUCAUAAUAUAAGAAGAAAAGUAGGAUUUUGACUUAGAAUAUAUCACUGAGUUUGUAAUAAAGAUGUAGAAGAAAAAGUAAAAUUCUUGCACCAAGAUUUCCUUCCUCUUCCAAUGAAUGCUUCUAAUCUUCAAUUGCUUGGUGUUAAUCUUCUUGAACUUCUCUUUUGAAUCUUCCUUCCUGUUGUCUUCUCUCAAUAUGUCAAGAACCCUUCAAAGUAUCAGCAAACUGUAUUUUUAGGUGCCCCUCUCGUUUUAUAUAGAAGUAGGGUUUUUAUGGAUUUAAAAAGGGCCCAAAAAACGCGCCCUAGAUAUUCAAUCGUAGCGCCUUAGCGCUGAUGAUAGCGCCUGGGCGCUACAUCUUCAGCGCCUAGGCGUUGACUUUCUGUCAAAAUUUCAGCAUCAUGGCGCCUGGGCGCUGAGGACUACUUCGGUUGCACUGCAUAACCUUAAGUAUUUUUAUCAUAAUUCUUUUUCCCGAUAUCCGAGUGAGGCGAUUCAAGAUGCGUUGAAAAGGUAAUUCAAAGGGCUACAACUUUGAUUCAAAUAUUAUUCUCUAAUUCGAUCGUUUGCUAUGUGAAAAAAUGAGUCUCAAUAUGAGGCUAAAAACCCGGUGCAAAAUUUUUCGGUUGGAAAAUGAUUUAUGAUCAUAUCUUGAAUAAAUUUGAUCCCUUUGACACCUUCCUUCAUCCAAUUGGCUUCUAGAACUCUCAGAUCUUCAUUUCAACUUUUGACACGACUUUUGAUUAAUUGCAUUUUAAUCCUCGAACUUUGUAUCUCUUACAUUUUGGUCAUUUCAUCCAAUUUCGCUAGCUUUUGCCUAUUUCCUUCCUUUAACCUCUUUUAGCUCUUAUUUUCUCUACUUCCAUCAAUCUGCAAAACAAUACCAAAAUAACUUAUUAGCACUUCUAAAAUACUCUCUAAGAUAGCAAAAUCAUGAAAUUAAUAGCAUAAUAUAAUGAGUGUGAAUCACUCAUCACUCAACCCUGAAGAAAUCUGAGAAACGGCCACCUAAGGAACAAAAGAGGUAGGGAAAUAUUUAUACGCUUUAAUUUAACCCAUUUCUUUCAAAAUUGUCUUGAAUUCUUCUAUCUGCAAUGAUUCUUAUGUACAAAUGUCAGUUGCCCUGUUCGUGUCUAUUAUUUCCUUAUUGACGUAUGUGAAAUUAUUCGUGUUUUGUUGCCCAGAUACAACUUGAAGAAGCUCACCUACGAAGUGAGGAAGGCCGCCCGUUUGAUCGAACGAUUGAAUGCUCUCAAUGCUGCUGCCGGACAUGAAGAUGACGAUGACAAGUGAAAGUUCUAGAACAUAAUUUCUUUAGCGAUUUUGUUUUCCACAAGUAAAACCGUCGUUUUAGUUGAUUCUUUCCUGUUUUACCAUUUUUUUGCUUUGUUGGCCUUUUUUAGUCGAAAAAAAUGUAGUUGGAAUUUUGACAUGAAAUUCUAUUUACAUAAUUUAUUAGUCAUUUUUGC